Molecule: long non-coding RNA, 891 nt
Organism: Columba livia (rock pigeon)
Lineage: Eukaryota; Metazoa; Chordata; Aves; Columbiformes; Columbidae
Exons: 3
Source: RefSeq, a predicted model, not a curated record
GUUAGGUAGAACCACCAACAGCCUUGCAACUACUAAGGAGGAGAUUAUGGAAACCAAUAUUAGGACAGCAGAAGAUUUUCACCAAAAGCGAAUGGAAGUCACUCAUCUUUAAAAAUGACACCGUAGACCACCUACCACAACUGAUCCAUGGAAAGGUUCCCCAAAAGGCAGCCUGCAAGAUCACACCAAGGAGACAGAAUGUGUCCCCACAGAAAGCUGAGAAAAUCCACUCAGACUGCGUUACUCUAACAGAAGACAGUCAUUGCUGAUUCUACUCCCAUUGAGCAGCAUAUAGAAAUAGCCAUUAAGUUCAAUAGAGCAGGACCACACAAUUAAAGGAGAAAAGAUUACCUCCUUUUUCCAUUUUCUUCUGCUAACAUAGAAAAUGAUAAAAAACCCUGACUUUUUUCUUGCUAUUCCCAGUAUUUGCAUAAAUCUGUGCUCUAAUCAUCAACCCACAGACCUAUGACCCAAAAGCUUGAGGGCUAGAUCUUCACUUUGAUCCAACAAUUAAUCAAAUCUUCAUGACCCAGCUGAGGAUCCCCACCAGAAGAAAAGGUUUUUCUGGUCCCAAAAACUGGGACUUCUGGUGCAAUGGUACCACAGCCUCCCCUCACACAGGGAAAGACAUCCCACCUGCCCUUCACUGGCAGUAAAACCUCUGCUCUAGGGCAGCAACUGAGAAGCUUUUGGACACCUGGCACCUCCAGGACUGGAGAACUGCCUGUGUGUCCUUUAAGUACUAGAAACACAAGCUGAGCACAGCUGAGACACCAGGUGUUGACUUUCAGUUGCUUUAUCAACCCACACCCUUUUUUGUAAGAAGAGGGUACUUGCCUACUUACAUCACAUGGUGUUUGGGCUGUUAGUUUCACGAACAUAAACACAUCC